This 253-nucleotide ribosomal RNA is filed under the name uncultured bacterium. Its description in RNAcentral is "partial 16S ribosomal RNA". It matches the Rfam family "Bacterial small subunit ribosomal RNA", at positions 524 to 776 of the family's 1533-position model. The record is from RNAcentral.
CACGUAGGGCGCAAGCGUUGUCCGGAAUUAUUGGGCGUAAAGAGCUCGUAGGCGGUUUGUCGCGUCGGCUGUGAAAACCUGGGGCUCAACCCCGGGCCUGCAGCCGAUACGGGCAAACUAGAAUUCGGUAGGGGAGACUGGAAUUCCUGGUGUAGCGGUGGAAUGCGCAGAUAUCAGGAGGAACACCAAUAGCGAAGGCAGCUCGCUGGGACGUUACUGACACUGAGGCGCGAAAGCGUGGGGAGCGAACAGG